GAUGAAGAACGUAGCGAAAUGCGAUAAGUAAUGUGAAUUGCAGAAUUCAGUGAAUCAUCGAAUGUUUGAACGCACAUUGCGCCCGCCAGUAUUCUGGCGGGCAUGCCUGUCUGAGCGUCAUUUCAACCCUCAUGCACCUAGGGCGUGGUGUUGGGGAUCGGCCAAAGCCCGCGAGGGACGGCCGGCCCCUAAAUCUAGUGGCGGACCCGUCGUGGCCUCCUCUGCGAAGUAGUGAUAUUCCGCAUCGGAGAGCGACGAGCCCCUGCCGUUAAACCCCCAACUUUCCAAGGUUGACCUCAGAUCAGGUAGGAAUACCCGCUGAACUUAAGCAUAUCAAUAAGCGGAGGA
This 348-nucleotide unclassified non-coding RNA is filed under the name soil metagenome. RNAcentral describes it as "partial contains 5.8S ribosomal RNA, internal transcribed spacer 2, and large subunit ribosomal RNA". The stretch from base 1 to 120 matches the Rfam family "5.8S ribosomal RNA", at positions 35 to 154 of the family's 154-position model. The record is from RNAcentral.